GGAGAGGUGGCUCAGCGGUUAGAGCUCUGGCUGCUCUUCCAGAGGUCCUGAGUUCAAUUCCCAGCAACCCCA
RNAcentral lists this transfer RNA (72 nucleotides) under Rattus norvegicus (Norway rat). It matches the Rfam family "tRNA". From Rfam's summary of the family: Transfer RNA (tRNA) molecules are approximately 80 nucleotides in length. Their secondary structure includes four short double-helical elements and three loops (D, anti-codon, and T loops). Lineage: Eukaryota; Metazoa; Chordata; Mammalia; Rodentia; Muridae. The record is from Rfam by way of RNAcentral.